RNAcentral lists this ribosomal RNA (484 nucleotides) under uncultured bacterium. RNAcentral describes it as "partial 16S ribosomal RNA". It matches the Rfam family "Bacterial small subunit ribosomal RNA", at positions 30 to 507 of the family's 1533-position model. The record is from RNAcentral.
AUUGAACGCUGGCGGCAGGCCUAACACAUGCCAGUCGAGCGGAUGAAGGGAGCUUGCUCCUGGAUUCAGCGGCGGACGGGUGAGUAAUGCCUAGGAAUCUGCCUGGUAGUGGGGGAUAACGUCCGGAAACGGGCGCUAAUACCGCAUACGUCCUGAGGGAGAAAGUGGGGGAUCUUCGGACCUCACGCUAUCAGACGAGCCUAGGUCGGAUUAGCUAGUUGGUGGGGUAAAGGCCUACCAAGGCGACGAUCCGUAACUGGUCUGAGAGGAUGAUCAGUCACACUGGAACUGAGACACGGUCCAGACUCCUACGGGAGGCAGCAGUGGGGAAUAUUGGACAAUGGGCGAAAGCCUGAUCCAGCCAUGCCGCGUGUGUGAAGAAGGUCUUCGGAUUGUAAAGCACUUUAAGUUGGGAGGAAGGGCAGUAAGUUAAUACCUUGCUGUUUUGACGGUACCAACAGAAUAAGCACCGGCUAACUUCGUG